This 1281-nucleotide ribosomal RNA is filed under the name uncultured archaeon. RNAcentral describes it as "bacterial SSU rRNA". It matches the Rfam family "Archaeal small subunit ribosomal RNA", at positions 88 to 1348 of the family's 1478-position model. The record is from RNAcentral.
GCUCAGUAACACGUGGUCAACCUACCCUUAGGACAGAGAUAACCCCGGGAAACUGGGGACAAUAUCUGGUAGGUGAGAAGGCCUGGAACGGUUUCUCGCUCAAAAGGUGUUAGAACCACGCUUCUAACAUCGCCUAAGGAUGGGGCUGCGGCCGAUCAGGUAGUUGGUGAGGUAAUGGCUCACCAAGCCUAUAACCGGUACGGGCCGUGAAAGCGGGAGCCCGGAGAUGGGCACUGAGACAAGGGCCCAGGUCCUACGGGGCGCAGCAGCUACGAAAACUCUGAAAUGUGCGUAAGCGCGACAGGGCUAUCCCGAGUGCUGUCCGCUGAGGAUAGCUUUUCCCUAGUGUAAUGAGCUAGGGGAAUAAGGGGAGGGCAAGUUUCUGGUGUCAGCCGCCGCGGUAAUACCAGCUCCCCGAGUGGUAGGGGCUAUUAUUGGGCCUAAAGCGUCCGUAGCUGGUUUUGCAAGUCUCUUGUUAAAUCCAACGAUUCAAUCGUUGGACUGCGGGAGAUACUGCAGAACUAGGAGGCGGAAGAAGCCGACGGUACUCUUGGGGUAGGGGUAAAAUCUUAUAAUCCCAGGAGGACCACCAGUGGCGAAAGCGGUCGGCUAGAACGCGCUCGACGGUGAGGGACGAAAGCUGGGGGGAGCGAUCCGGAUUAGAUACCCGGGUAGUCCCAGCUGUAAACGAUGCAGGCUAGGUGUUAUCGUGACUACGUGUCACGAUAGUGCCGCAGGGAAGCCGUUAAGCCUGCCGCCUGGGAAGUACGGUCGCAAGACUGAAACUUAAAGGAAUUGGCGGGGGAGCACCACAAGGGGUGAAGCUUGCGGUUCAAUUGGAGUCAACGCCGGGAAACUUACCGGGGAAGACAGCAGGUUGAAGGCCAGAUUAAAGGUCUUGCCAGACAAGCUGAGAGGAGGCGCAUGGCCGUCGCCAGUUCGUGCCGUGAGGUGUCCUGUUAAGUCAGGCAACGAUCGAGACCCACGCCUCUUGUUGCCAGCGGCACUCCAAACGGAGGUCGGGCACACUAGAGGGACUGCCGCCGAUAAGGCGGAGGAAGGAGUGGGCCACGGCAGGUCAGUAUGCCCCGAAUUCCCUGGGCCACACGCGAGCUGCAAUGGCAGGGACAAUGGGAUCCGACCUCGAAAGGGGAAGGUAAUCCUUAAACCCUGCCUCGGUUGGGAUCGAGGGCUGUAACCCGUCCUCGUGAAUCAUGGAAUCCCUAGUAAUCGCGCGUCAUCAGCGCGCGGUGAAUACGUCCCCGCUCCUUGCACACACCG